RNAcentral lists this ribosomal RNA (756 nucleotides) under uncultured bacterium. RNAcentral describes it as "bacterial SSU rRNA". It matches the Rfam family "Bacterial small subunit ribosomal RNA", at positions 28 to 765 of the family's 1533-position model. The record is from RNAcentral.
GAUGAACGCUGGCGGCAUGCCUAAUACAUGCAAGUCGAACGUAGUCUUUAGGAAGCUUGCUUCCAAAGAGACUUAGUGGCGAACGGGUGAGUAACACGUAGGUAACCUGCCCAUGUGCCCGGGAUAACUGCUGGAAACGGUAGCUAAAACCGGAUAGGUAUGAGGGAGGCAUCUUCCUCAUAUUAAAGCACCUUCGGGUGUGAACAUGGAUGGACCUGCGGCGCAUUAGCUGGUUGGUGAGGUAACGGCCCACCAAGGCGAUGAUGCGUAGCCGACCUGAGAGGGUGAACGGCCACAUUGGGACUGAGACACGGCCCAAACUCCUACGGGAGGCAGCAGUAGGGAAUUUUCGUCAAUGGGGGGAACCCUGAAUGAGCAAUGCCGCGUGUGUGAAGAAGGUCUUCGGAUCGUAAAGCACUGUUGUAAGUGAAGAAUGCCACAUAGAGGAAAUGCUAUGUGGGUGACGGUAGCUUACCAGAAAGCCACGGCUAACUACGUGCCAGCAGCCGCGGUAAUACGUAGGUGGCAAGCGUUAUCCGGAAUCAUUGGGCGUAAAGGGUGCGUAGGUGGCACGAUAAGUCUGAAGUAAAAGGCAACAGCUCAACUGUUGUAUGCUUUGGAAACUGUCGAGCUAGAGUGCAGAAGAGGGCGAUGGAAUUCCAUGUGUAGCGGUAAAAUGCGUAGAUAUAUGGAGGAACACCAGUGGCGAAGGCGGUCGCCUGGUCUGUAACUGACACUGAUGCACGAAAGCGUGGU